GGAUUCGCAUAAAAGAUGCCACCUGCAUAAUGUAUAAAACAUAUCAAUGAAGGAGUAAUAGGAUGAUCAACUUUAGGCUGUCUUGGAAAUCCCCAGGAUUAAAAUUGCAUAUAUGUGAUCCUCAUGUGAUUUAUCUUGAAUUACAAGUCAAAUCAACUUGAAAAGGAUCACUUGUUCAUUCAAUUUCCUGGAAACUUGGAUUCCCAUAUAUAAUUGAAAAUAUUGCAUUUCUCAUCUCUUCAAUGAUGGGCAAUAUCACAAAUCAUUUCCAGACUUUUCUUUCCCCAAAUUGCAAUGCAUAACAACAAGAAAGUAUCUAAAUUUCCCCCUAAACCUGGUAUUAUGAAUUAAAUUGCUUGUGGAGCAUCAAGUAACAACACAUGUACAACUUACCGUAGUUGUCCGAGGCCGAAGA
RNAcentral lists this unclassified non-coding RNA (415 nucleotides) under Hevea brasiliensis (rubber tree). Lineage: Eukaryota; Viridiplantae; Streptophyta; Magnoliopsida; Malpighiales; Euphorbiaceae. The record is from RNAcentral.